Molecule: non-coding RNA, 229 nt
Organism: Plectropomus leopardus (leopard coralgrouper)
Lineage: Eukaryota; Metazoa; Chordata; Actinopteri; Perciformes; Serranidae
Source: RefSeq, a predicted model, not a curated record
AGUAGUUAGGGGUUAGAGGUCAGGGGUCAAGAAGGAAAUGAGGAUACCAUCCAAAGGCCUGUGCUGCUUUGAUCAAAGGGAGAUCCACCUGCAGGAUUAUGUGCUGCAGGAUCAGAGCGGAGGAACUGAAGAACUGUAAAUCAGACUCAGGUCAUCACCUUUCAAGAGGCUGCCAACAGAACCAGCGAGCAGCGUUUCGUACCGACUGCCAGCAGCAGAUCUCUCAGAC